CCAGAUAAUCGGGCAGUUGCUGGUAACUUGGCUUACCAGAGGAAAGUCCGGGCUCUACGAAUAAAUGAUGCCGGAUAACGUCCGGCGGGGGAAACCCUAGGGAAAGUGCCACAGAAAAUAUACCGCCGAAUUCGGUAAGGGUGAAAAGGUGCGGUAAGAGCGCACCGCAUAUUCAGUAAUGAAUAUGGCAUGGAAAACCCCAUCAAGAGCAAGACCAAGUAGGAGCAACCAACCCCUAGGGGUUAGAUGGUUAUUCGCAUCGUUGCUCGGGUCGGUCGCAUGAGGUCAUAGGCAACUAUGCCCCUAGAUGAAUGACUGCCUUGCUUAUAGCAAACAGAACCCGGCUUAUAGAUUAUCUGGCUUU
This 364-nucleotide RNase P RNA is filed under the name Alphaproteobacteria bacterium. RNAcentral's name for it is "RNase P RNA component class A". It matches the Rfam family "Bacterial RNase P class A". Rfam says of the family: Ribonuclease P (RNase P) is a ubiquitous endoribonuclease, found in archaea, bacteria and eukarya as well as chloroplasts and mitochondria. Its best characterised activity is the generation of mature 5'-ends of tRNAs by cleaving the 5'-leader elements of precursor-tRNAs. Cellular RNase Ps are ribonucleoproteins. Lineage: Bacteria; Pseudomonadati; Pseudomonadota; Alphaproteobacteria. The record is from RNAcentral.